Long non-coding RNA from Oncorhynchus tshawytscha (Chinook salmon), 451 nucleotides. Lineage: Eukaryota; Metazoa; Chordata; Actinopteri; Salmoniformes; Salmonidae. The record is from Ensembl.
GUAGUGAGACGUAGUGAGACGUAGGUGUGUUUACUGUUGUAGUGAGAUGUAGGUGUGUUUACUGUUGUAGUGAGACGUAGUGAGACGUAGGUGUGUUUACUGUUGUAGUGAGAUGUAGUGAGACGUAGGUGUGUUUACUGUUGUAGUGAGACGUAGGUGUGUUUACUGUUGUAGUGAGACGUAGGUGUGUUUACUGUUGGUACAAGAUGUAGUGAGACGUAGGUGUGUUUACUGUUGUAGUGAGACGUAGGUGUGUUUACUGUUGUAGUGAGACGUAGGUGUGUUUACUGUUGUAGUGAGACGUAGGUGUGUUUACUGUUGUAGUGAGACGUAGGUGUGUUUACUGUUGGUACAAGAUGUAGUGAGACGUAGGUGUGUUUACUGUUGUAGUGAGACGUAGGUGUGUUUACUGUUGUAGUGAGACGUAGGUGUGUUUACUGUUGUAGUGAGA